Mus caroli (Ryukyu mouse) is the source of this 3614-nucleotide non-coding RNA. The record is from RefSeq and is a predicted model, not a curated record. Lineage: Eukaryota; Metazoa; Chordata; Mammalia; Rodentia; Muridae.
UGCGCAAUACCGGGGUUUCCUUGGCCGCCCACCCUGAGCCGAGCGGUGGAGUUGGGGAUAAACAGGCAGUGGCUGGGGAGGUGAGGGAGGGGGGGCAUUCGCUUUUGGGGGCACCUCAGGUGCCUAGGUUUUCCUUUAGGUUUGUUCUAUCCGAGACGCGGGACUCCCGGGGCCCGGCUCGAGUGUUCCUGUCUAGUAAGAGAAGGUAGCUUUGGCGGAGAGCAGUUCAAGUUGCUAGGAAGGUGCGAGGCUACAGCUCUCCCCCAUGCCGGGCAAGUGGUGCGGUCCUGAGCUUGUCCUGGAGCCUGAACAACGCCUGUGAGAAGCCCGCCGAACGCGGGUUCUGUGAAGAGACGUGGGGAAGAUUCGAUUCCGAGAAAAGGAAAAGCCGGAUUGAAAGGGAGCGAAGCCGCUGAGGGGGAGGGGGCUGCCAAGAUGGCGUCCGCCUCCUCAGGGCCAGCGGCGGCCGGGUUUUCAUCCCUUGAUGCCGGGGCCCCUGCUGGUACCGCAGCAGCAGCAUCUGGAGUCAAGAGAGCCACAGUAUCUGAGGGACCUUCUGCCUCUGUCAUGCCUGUUAAAAAAAUAGGCCAUCGAAGUGUUGAUUCCUCUGGAGAGACUACAUACAAGAAGACAACUUCAUCAGCCUUGAAAGGUGCCAUCCAGUUAGGCAUCACUCACACUGUGGGCAGCCUGAGCACCAAACCAGAGCGUGACGUCCUCAUGCAAGACUUCUACGUGGUGGAGAGCAUCUUUUUCCCCAGUGAAGGCAGCAACCUGACACCGGCUCACCAUUACAAUGACUUUCGGUUCAAGACCUAUGCGCCUGUUGCCUUCCGUUACUUCAGAGAGCUCUUUGGCAUCCGGCCUGAUGAUUACUUGUACUCCCUUUGCAGUGAGCCAUUGAUUGAACUCUCCAAUUCUGGAGCUAGUGGUUCCCUCUUCUAUGUGUCCAGUGAUGAUGAAUUCAUCAUUAAGACCGUCCAGCAUAAAGAAGCGGAAUUUCUGCAGAAGUUGCUUCCCGGAUACUACAUGAAUCUUAACCAAAACCCUCGUACUUUGCUGCCCAAAUUUUAUGGAUUGUACUGUGUGCAAGCAGGCGGCAAGAACAUACGAAUUGUGGUGAUGAACAAUCUCUUGCCUCGGUCAGUCAAAAUGCAUAUGAAAUAUGACCUGAAGGGUUCAACUUACAAGCGGCGGGCUUCUCAGAAAGAACGAGAGAAAACUCUCCCCACCUUUAAAGACCUGGACUUCCUACAAGAUAUCCCUGACGGCCUAUUUUUGGAUGCUGACAUGUACAGUGCUCUGUGUAAGACUCUACAGCGUGACUGUUUGGUGCUGCAGAGCUUCAAGAUAAUGGACUACAGCCUGCUGAUGUCCAUCCACAACAUGGACCAUGCACAGAGGGAGCCCACGAGCAAUGACACACAGUACUCAGCCGACAUGCGCAGACCAGCCCCACAGAAGGCGCUCUAUUCCACAGCUAUGGAAUCCAUCCAGGGCGAGGCUCGACGGGGCGGCACCGUGGAGACUGAGGACCACAUGGGUGGCAUCCCUGCCCGGAAUAACAAAGGAGAAAGACUCCUGCUUUAUAUUGGCAUCAUUGAUAUUCUUCAGUCCUACAGGUUUGUUAAGAAGUUGGAGCACUCUUGGAAAGCACUGGUCCAUGAUGGGGAUACAGUGUCAGUACAUCGUCCAGGCUUCUAUGCUGAGCGGUUCCAGCGUUUCAUGUGCAACACAGUGUUCAAGAAGAUUCCCUUGAAGCCUUCUCCUACCAAAAAGUUUCGGUCUGGCCCGUCUUUCUCUCGGCGAUCAGGCCCCAGCGGCAAUUCCUGCACUUCCCAGCUGAUGGCCUCUGGGGAACACAAAGCACAAGUGACUACAAAGGCGGAAGUGGAGCCAGAUGUACACCUUGGGCGUCCUGAUGUCUUGCCUCAGACUCCACCUUUGGAGGAGAUAAGUGAGGGUUCACCUGUUCCUGGCCCCAGUUUCUCACCUGUAGUUGGACAACCUUUGCAAAUACUAAAUUUGAGGUUGGUUUCUUGACCUGUUACUCCAGAUAGUCUGUUUUCAGUUCAACCUUGGACAAGCUUGAUGUUGCAGAGUCAGAGUUCACCCACUGAGCCUCAGAAGACCUGAAACAAGACUCCGCUGUCGCUUUGAUCCCAAGAUGUCAGCCCUUGCCCCAGGAAUGCUGAGUCGUCUUCUUGGUCAUCAACAGAGGAGAGAAUGUGGAGCUAGCAGGGCUCUGUCACUGUCUCCCCUUCCUCUGGGCAGUAGUGCCUUUGACAGUUGAGGACAGCAUCCACCCCACCACUCCAGAAGUGGGUGGCAUGAAUUUUCCACUGCCUGCCAUGGCUUCUAUAGCUGAGUCUUUUUCAAACCCCCAUUCUUUGUGCUGGACGUGGGGUUGCUGGACUGGUGUUUCCUCUCUUUCCCUUCCUCCUGGAGCUGGCCUCUUCAUUUCCUCAGGACAGACUGGCUGCACACUGUUCCUGCCUUGGCUCUUCCCGCUGGUCUCUGGAGUCUCCCAGUGAUUUGUAUAAAGGUGUUGGGGGAGACUAAGGAUUAUCCUUACUCCCAACCUUUUUCCUUAAAAAAGGAAAAAAGCACAACGAGCACACAAUGUAAAUUUGAGCCAGUCUCAGAUAAAAGUUCUCUAAGUGUUGUAGAAGAGCCCUAGUGUUUGUGAAGCAGAAAGGCUGGGGCUGCCCCCCCCCCCCCAGCAGCUGCUCUCUGACUCCCUCACUUAGGGUUGAGGGAAUAGCGAGGGCCUGGCCCUUUUUUAAGACAAAGGGGCAGCCAUGUUAGGAGAGUGGACCUUAGCAGGACCCUACUCACUGCCAGGUCUUCGGUUAUUACUAUUCUGCAAUUUGGAAUGUAUCCUCAGUUUUUUCUAGAUAUAAAGAAUUAUCAAAUGAUUUUAGACCAUUCUCCAAAGGAGAUUUCUUUGUUCUUCCUAUAUUUUCCAACAGUAUUCUGCUCUUUGUGGAGCUACGGUGGAGGGAGAUGUUUGUGUCUGUUUAACAGGCAGUCUGUAUCUAUGAGGCUAGAGAAUAUUUUCUUAAACUCCUAGGGAGCCACAGACUUCCCUCUGUACGGUUGUCGCCAUGUCACCUGGCCUGCCCUUACUCUGCAGAGAAGCUGGAAAUGGGGCCACGGAGCCCUCUCCUUCCUCUCAGUUGUGGCCCAUCUGGUCCUGGCUGGUGGGGCAGUGCAUGGUGUUUCAGGCUGGCUGUUGAAAUCCCACAUUAGUUCCUUCCCUGUCCCGUCCCACCUUGAUAGCAGGUUAGCCAACCCCCACGUAACUGUCUAUAUUAGACACCCCCAGCCAGCUUCUGGCUGCCUGUCUUUGCUGCCAUGUUCUUUUUUACAAGAAGGAAAGAAACAAUUUCUUGCUAUUUUUUUUCAUAAUUUACUAUUUAUGAUGUAUUUAAGUGUUUUAUUCAGGACAGGGUUCUGUAAGGGGUGGGAGGGAGUAUUUGAGGGAGGGCUGGGACUUAGGGAAAGGACAUGGGAGUCAACAUUUUUAUGGAGUGUUACUAUUUGCCUCUACUUUGUAUUGUUGAAAAAUGACAGAUGCAAUAUAAAAGUAAUAAAUAUCUGGUUUUAAUGUA